GGGGGUGGAGGGAGGAGAAGGACUGGGAUGGCAUUCGCCAUUUAAUAACUGACUCCAUUCUCAUGGAAAUUAUGGGGUUGGAAGCAGAGAUCAUUUCAUCCAGUUCCUCCAUUGUACGGAUGGGAAACCAAGGACCAAGGACUGAGCAACAGAGCAAGUUGAGGAAAAAGGAAAGCAGAGAGAAGCAGAGAUGUACCACUGGAUGCUGCCUGAAGGCUUUGCACGGUUCCUGGAACCGAAAGACUUUUUAAAAGGAGGCAAAGUCAAGUCUUGUGAAAUACUCUUCCGAUGAACCCCCUGCAGCUAACUAAGGGAAGUGAUUUCUUCUGUUAAAUGUCUCCAGCAGCGGAGUUUCAAAAGUUCAGUCCUGUGUGCUGUUGGACCCUUCCAAGCCUGGAAAGCUCUAGACUCACAGGCGAGAAAUAGCAUCUGACACAUGGCGGGCAAUCAGUAAAUGCUACCUGAACUGGA
Canis lupus familiaris (dog) is the source of this 471-nucleotide long non-coding RNA. RefSeq lists it as uncharacterized. NCBI's taxonomy places the organism in Eukaryota, Metazoa, Chordata, Mammalia, Carnivora, Canidae. The transcript has 3 exons. The record is from RefSeq and is a predicted model, not a curated record.